UGUGAUGCCUGAAGAAGAGGAUACAUCUUUCUUUUGGUGAGCAUAUACCAGAAGUUUGCUAGUCUCAGGACAUGUUCAUGUACAGUGUGUAGUGUACAGGUACUUGAGUGUAUCAGCCAGGACAUGGUGUUUUAUGCUGCUAAUCAUGGGUCCCUGAGAGACCAAAAAAUUUUUAUUGUACAUAUUGUAAGGCUUAUGCUGUUCUAUGCAUAAAUGCAACUUUGGUCUCAAACCUUUU
RNAcentral lists this unclassified non-coding RNA (238 nucleotides) under Hevea brasiliensis (rubber tree). The record is from RNAcentral. Lineage: Eukaryota; Viridiplantae; Streptophyta; Magnoliopsida; Malpighiales; Euphorbiaceae.